GACAGAGGGUGCAAGCGUUGCUCGGAAUUACUGGGCGUAAAGCGUACGCAGGCUGCUUGCUAAGUCGGGUGUGAAAGCCCGGGGCUCAACCCCGGAAUUGCGCCCGAAACUGGCGAGCUUGAGUGCGGGAGAGGGAAGCGGAAUUCCUGGUGUAGAGGUGAAAUUCGUAGAUAUCAGGAGGAACACCGGUGGCGAAAGCGGCUUCCUGGCCCGACACUGACGCUCAUGUACGAAAGCGUGGGGAGCAAACAGG
This 253-nucleotide ribosomal RNA is filed under the name uncultured bacterium. RNAcentral describes it as "partial 16S ribosomal RNA". It matches the Rfam family "Bacterial small subunit ribosomal RNA", at positions 524 to 776 of the family's 1533-position model. The record is from RNAcentral.